AUUGAACGCUGGCGGCAUGCUUUACACAUGCAAGUCGAACGGUAACAGGCCGCAAGGUGCUGACGAGUGGCGAACGGGUGAGUAAUGCAUCGGAACGUGCCCAGUCGUGGGGGAUAACGCAGCGAAAGCUGCGCUAAUACCGCAUACGAUCUAUGGAUGAAAGCGGGGGACCGUAAGGCCUCGCGCGAUUGGAGCGGCCGAUGUCAGAUUAGGUAGUUGGUGAGGUAAAGGCUCACCAAGCCAACGAUCUGUAGCUGGUCUGAGAGGACGACCAGCCACACUGGGACUGAGACACGGCCCAGACUCCUACGGGAGGAAGCAGUGGGGAAUUUUGGACAAUGGGCGCAAGCCUGAUCCAGCAAUGCCGCGUGCAGGAAGAAGGCCUUCGGGUUGUAAACUGCUUUUGUACGGAACGAAACGGUCCGGGUUAAUACCCUGGGCUAAUGACGGUACCGUAAGAAUAAGCACCGGCUAACUACGUGCCAGCCGCCGCAGUAA
RNAcentral lists this ribosomal RNA (498 nucleotides) under uncultured bacterium. RNAcentral's name for it is "partial 16S ribosomal RNA". It matches the Rfam family "Bacterial small subunit ribosomal RNA", at positions 30 to 523 of the family's 1533-position model. The record is from RNAcentral.